Molecule: ribosomal RNA, 492 nt
Filed under: uncultured bacterium
Lineage: Bacteria
Description: partial 16S ribosomal RNA
Rfam family: Bacterial small subunit ribosomal RNA
Source: RNAcentral
AGUGAACGCUGGCGGUAGGCCUAACACAUGCAAGUCGAACGAUAGAAUAGUAAGAGCUUGCUCUUACGGGUGGCGAGUGGCGGAUGGGUGCGGACUACAUCGGAAUCUACUUUUUAGUGGGGGAUAACGUAGGGAAACUUACGCUAAUACCGCAUAAGUCCUACGGGUGAAAUCAGGUGAUCUUCGGACCUUGCGUGAUAGACUGAGCCGAUGUCGGAUUAGCUAGGUGGCGGGGUAAAGGCGUACCAAGGCGACGAUCCGUAGCUGCUCUGAGAGGAAGAUCAGCCACACUGGAACAGAGACACGGUGCACACUCUGACAGUGGGCAACAGUGGGAAAUAUUGGACGAUGCGCGCAAGCCGGAUCCAGCCAUACCGCGUGGAUGAAGAAGGCCUUCGGGUUGGAAAGCCCUUUUGUUGGUAAAGAAGUGCAGCAGUGUAAUACCCCACGGUUCUGACGGUACCCAAAGAAUAAGCACCGGCUAACUUCGUG